UACAGAGGGUGCGAGCGUUGUCCGGAAUCACUGGGCGUAAAGGGCGCGUAGGUGGCGCAACAAGUCAGUGGUGAAAGCUCGACGCUCAACGUCGAGUCGGCCACUGAGACUGUUGGGCUUGAGCACUGUAGAGGCUAAUGGAAUUCCGGGUGUAGCGGUGGAAUGCGUAGAGAUCCGGAAGAACACCGGUGGCGAAGGCGGCCUGCUGGGCAGUAGCUGACACUGAGGCGCGACAGCGUGGGGAGCAAACAGG
RNAcentral lists this ribosomal RNA (253 nucleotides) under uncultured bacterium. Its description in RNAcentral is "partial 16S ribosomal RNA". It matches the Rfam family "Bacterial small subunit ribosomal RNA", at positions 524 to 776 of the family's 1533-position model. The record is from RNAcentral.